Molecule: long non-coding RNA, 232 nt
Filed under: Medicago truncatula (barrel medic)
Lineage: Eukaryota; Viridiplantae; Streptophyta; Magnoliopsida; Fabales; Fabaceae
Description: long non-coding RNA (MTRU_LNC003154)
Source: RNAcentral
AUACAUUUACAAUGAGGUAAAACUAAAUCUGGGAAAAAAAAAAUCACAAGAAAACCAACCUCCAUGGGGUAACACUAAAUCUGCUUCUUUUUACCCCCAAGAAGAUUGGUCACCAAUCAUCUCAAGUUCAAAGCAACCUCUCGAAAUCUUCAAAGAUGCCUCUUUCUAUGAAAGGCCAAGGAUGGAAAAACAACAUUGUUGUUAUAGAAGGGUGAGGAGGAGAGUGAGGAGG